This 1761-nucleotide long non-coding RNA is filed under the name Sus scrofa (pig). RNAcentral describes it as "lncRNA (ENSSSCG00050009767.1)". The record is from RNAcentral. Lineage: Eukaryota; Metazoa; Chordata; Mammalia; Artiodactyla; Suidae.
CAUGGGAGAGGUUGCCGAGAGCAGGGCUGGCAACCUGUUGGGUCCCUGGCAGGUACAAAGAGAAGGAGGGAGGGGGCCGGAGGGGUGCUGGGUGUUGGGGGGAGGAGUGAGUACUUCCCAGCGGGGCUCAUAGCGCUGCCAGAUUCAGUGGAUAGAAAUGCAGGAUGAGGAGUUCCCUUGUGGCUCAGUGGGUUAAGAACCCGACUAGCAUAUGUGAGGAUCUAUGAGGAUUCGGGUUCAAUCCCUGGCCUUGCUCAGUGGGUUAAGGAUGCAGUGUUGCUGCAAGAUGACGUGGCUUGGAUCUGGCGGUGCUGUGGCUCUGACGUAGGCAGCUGCAGCUCCAAUUCAACCCCUAGCUCCGGAAACAUCCAUAGGCCACAGGUGCAGCCGUAAAAAGAAAGAAAAAAGACAUGCAGGAUGCCCAGCUCAAUCUCAGCCUAGCCCCCAGCGUGGCCCAGAAGGACCUCCAACAGAUUAAGGUUUAAACAGAAGAGGACUGGACAAUCUCAACAGAUACAGAAAAGGCGUGUAUGCAGAGGGAACCUGUUACAGGCUGAGCUGCAUUGCCCUCAAGUUCAAGCCUUAACGUCGCAGCCCUGGUCCCUCCGCCCUCCGCUGGCCUCCCCCCCAGGAGGACCCCACCAACAGGGUCCCACUGAAUAAUUACCCUCGGGAUGUGAUGGGCUGACACUGCCUCCUGACGUCGAGGCUGAGAAAGAUGCUCUUUUUCUAUCCCUCAAACGGUCAACUUUUUCGUUUGUUUUUGUUUGUUUUUGCUUUUUUUAAGGCCGCACCCCAGACACAUAGAGGUCCCCAGGCUAAGGGUUGCAUUGGAGCUACAGCUGCCUGCCUACACCACAGCCUCAGCAACGCCAGAUCCAAGUCGCGUCUGAGACCUACACCACAGCUCACAGCAAUGCCGGAUCCUUAACUCACUGAGCAAGGCCAGGGAUCGAACCUGUGGAUGCUAGUCAAAUGGGUUAACCGCUGAGCCAUGCCGGGAAUUCCUGGAUGGUCAAAUUUCCUCACUGCUCUUUCUUUUUCAAAGUCCUGUGUCUGCUUGGGGUGACCUCACGGUAAUUUUCCUAUGGAAGGAGGCUUCUGAGAGGAUAAGGACUCUGACACCUGUUUAGAGAGAGGGGUUCCUGAUUCUGGGGUCCGAGGAGGGCUUCCGAGGGUCUGGGGACCACCUGCAAUUGUCCAGCAAACAAUGCGUCCACGCACACGGAUAGGCAUCUAUUGUCCCCCAAGAAAGGGAGUCGCUAGUUUUCAGCAGAAGUUCAAGGGGAAACUGUAUCCCAGAGAAGAGUAGCAAAUGUUCACGGAGAAGCAGUGGAUACCCGAGGUCCCUGGCCUGGAGCUCAUGACCCCUUAGGGUCUAUGGAGACAAUUCAGGAAGCCCAGGAGCUGAGACCAGGUCAAUUUCGAUCUUUAGUUCAUAGCUAUUUCUCCACUCUAUUAAAACCAUUGCAGGUAUCUCGAAAUAUUCCUAGCACUCGUCAUUCCUCAGAAAUUACGGUGUCUCUAUCACAUCUUUCUGGACUCCACGUUGGUACUCCCCUCCUGUAAGGGAUAAAAACCCCUAUAGGACAAUGUGGGGUGGGGAGGGCUCUUCUUCCGCCUCCCAGCUGUCCUGGGAGCUGUUGCUUUCCUGUCAUAAAGACUUCGCUUGCUUAAAAAAAAAAAUCCAGAAAUCGCGGUGGUUUUAAACCAGCAACUAUGCUGUCUUUAAUGCAUUAAUAAAGAAGCUCAUAUACCCUA